RNAcentral lists this ribosomal RNA (791 nucleotides) under uncultured archaeon. RNAcentral's name for it is "bacterial SSU rRNA". It matches the Rfam family "Archaeal small subunit ribosomal RNA", at positions 85 to 879 of the family's 1478-position model. The record is from RNAcentral.
ACGGCUCAGUAACACGUGGAUAACCUGCCCAAGGGUCUGGGAUAACCCCGGGAAACUGGGGAUAAUACCGGAUGGAUCACUAGUGCUGGAAUGCUUGGUGGUCGAAAGGUAACGCCUUUGGAUGGGUCUGCGGCGGAUUAGGUUGACGCCGGUGUAACGUACCGGCGUGCCUGUAAUCCGUACGGGUUGUGGGAGCAAGAGCCCGGAGAUGGAUUCUGAGACACGAAUCCAGGCCCUACGGGGCGCAGCAGGCGCGAAAACUCUACAAUGCAGGCAACUGCGAUAGGGGGACAUCGAGUGGCAUCCACCUUGGGUGCCUGUCCAACCGUCUAAAAAACGGUUGUUAGCAAGGGCCGGGUAAGACCGGUGCCAGCCGCCGCGGUAAUACCGGCGGCUCGAGUGGUGGCCGAUAUCAUUGAGUCUAAAGGGUCCGUAGCCGGCUUUGCAAGUCCCCUGGGAAAUCCAGCGGCUUAACCGUUGGGCUUUCAUGGGAUACUACAUUGCUUGGGACUGGGAGAGGUAGGAGGUACUCGGGGGGUAGGGGUGAAAUCCUGUAAUCCUCCGGGGACCACCGGUGGCGAAGGCGUCCUACCAGAACAGGUCCGACGGUGAGGGACGAAAGCUAGGGGCACGAACCGGAUUAGAUACCCGGGUAGUCCUAGCCGUAAACGAUGCCCGCUAGGUGUCACGACGGUCGUGAAUCGUCGUGGUGCCGUUGGGAAGCCGCGAAGCGGGCCACUUGGGAAGUACGGCCGCAAGGCUGAAACUUAAAGGAAUUGGCGGGGGAGCAC